GACAAAGGCUGGGAGCUGGAAACUUCUGAAGGCUCAUUCACUUGCAUGUCUGUCAUGAAGCUUCAGGGCAGCUCCAGCUGAUGCCAGGGACUUCUGGAGUCCAUUACAGAGCUACUCAACCCACGGCAGUAAUCCUCCCUCUGAGAAUACUACUGUAAUCCUCAAGUGCAGAGUAGAGACUACUGUGCGCAGCCCCCAGAGCUAUCUAACCACAGGAGCUUGAAUGACACACCUACCUCUCAAGAUUAUAGAGUCUGCCUCAAAAGCCACCACUAUGCCAGCUUCCUGUGUGGGUCUAUAGACCCCUUGGGAGAUCUACAUGAUAGUGCCUGAACGGAGACUGAGCAUUAGAAUGCAUCUUAAUUUCAAGCACAUCAGCUCCACUGCCAAUAUGGAUUCAGUGAUCCAAAGUGUUUAAAUCCAAGUCUGGGGUGCAAGUUGAUGCUCUUAAGUGGCUGUUGUGGACCUGGGGUUCCUGUGACAGUAAACUUGGGCUUGAGAAAGGAUCCAAAGAGUGCCUGGGCCUCAAGAAGACACUACCAAGGAAUGAAUGGCCCUCACUGAACUCCUGUGACAUAAUAAGAUAUCUUCACCAUUGAAUAAGGGAUUUUCCUUGAAAAUAUUAUGCUAAUUGAAAGAAACCAAAUUGUAGAAGGUCACAUAUUAUAUGAUUUCAUUUAUAUGAAAUGUCCAGAAUAGGCAAAUCUAUAGAGACAGAAAGUAGAUUCAUUCUUAUCAGAGGCUGAGGGGUAAGGUGGGGAAAUGGCUUUGACUGCUAGUGGGUGUAAGGUUUCUUUUGUGGGGAGAUGAAAAUGUUCUAGAAUUUGAGAUUGGUGAUGGAUGCAUGAUUUUAUCAAUGUACUAAAAGCCAUUGACUUGCACACAUUAAAUUAGUAAAUGGUAUGGUACAUA
This 912-nucleotide long non-coding RNA is filed under the name Homo sapiens (human). RNAcentral's name for it is "HSALNT0296890". The record is from RNAcentral. Lineage: Eukaryota; Metazoa; Chordata; Mammalia; Primates; Hominidae.